Gallus gallus (chicken) is the source of this 2125-nucleotide long non-coding RNA. Lineage: Eukaryota; Metazoa; Chordata; Aves; Galliformes; Phasianidae. The record is from Ensembl.
CGAGUAUACUUUAUUGGAAAAGCAGCUGGGGAAAGGGUGUAUAUCCUUGAAAAAGUACCUUGAGACAUAUCGCCAGCCCUCUCACUGCUACUCUGCUUCUCUAAAGGUAACAAAAACAAGCUUUUGCAGCUCUGGUCAAUUAAGGGUUUAGGCCUUAAAAGUUACCUAAACUUCAAAGAUGUUACAAAAGCUUCAAAAAGGUUCAGAUGGAGCAGAAAUAAUUUGUUCUUGCUUCAUCAGAACAUAUUUAUUGUCUAGGAUGGAAUUAAAGUGCCAAGGCUAAGAUCCUGUCAACUAGCUUGAGCUUUUAUUUUCUAAUCAAAAUGAAAUACAGUAGACUUCACUGCGUAUCGAGUUAAAACACAGCAAGAGUGGAGAAUUUAAGUUUAAAUUUAACAAGGUGUACACAAAAACUGUACUUUGUCUUGUCCUGCUGCUUUAGGUCACCGUUUCAUCAAAUUCCCCAUCCUCAUCCAGACAAAGCCACAAGAAGAGGAUGAAGCUGUAUUGUCGGUUUCCAGACCUAAGAAAGAGGUAUGAUAACCAUCUCACAAAGCCUCUAUCAAAGCAAAAAUAGGGGCCUUGAGAAGAUGGAAGGCAGUUGGAACCCUGAAAGCAACUUGAAAUUCACUUUUGAUUAUACCUUUUCUCAGUGAGCGUGUUCUGAGAAUUCUACACUAAAGAAAGAGAAGUGACCCAACUGGUUUUGCUUCUACUGCUCAGCCAUUCUCUUCUUUUUUCCAUUUGCCUUACAAGUACCAAUUUAAAUCAUGUGUCAGUCACAGUCACCACAUAAUGAAGAGAUGACAUUCAGAUUACAUUGCCUUUAUUAAAGUAAAAAAGAGGUUCCACUCACCACUCUCUUCCUCAUCUUAAACAAUGUUGGGAAUUGUUCACCAUCCCCUUUGCUCUCCCCAAAAUUAAGUGGCCAGGUGCCUCCCAACAUCUCUUCUGCACCUUUCUGAGUAAGGCAGCAGAAACAAAUGCUUCGUGGAUUUCAGCCCAACACAUGACAACCUCAGUGCUAAUUCCUCUCAGUGGCACUUUCCCAGGUGAAAUUCUUCAGGUACCACCUGAUCUUCACUCGGUCCACUUCUAAUUCACUCCCAUCUUCCUACCUUCAAUAAUUUAUUCGUUUCCAGUACUAUAUACUGAUAUGAAAGAAACCCUGUUUUAUCCAGAACAGCACUGCGGUAUGAAAUAGCCUCAAAAAACAGGAAACACUCAGAAGUAAAUUCCCUUUUCAGCCUCAAGAAUGUUUUGGGUUUUAGCUCAGGGAGGUGAUAGUUUGCCAACAGGGUUCCUAUACAAAAAAAAAAAAAAAAAAAAAACCCACAGUCUACAAGACUACAACAACAGCACAUGAGAAACAUCUUCAGCUCCAAAACUGUGAAAAAGCUUCCUGCACUGUCCUAAUGGGAUGGGGAGUCACCUAUGUGACUGAAGUGCACUUGCGUGCCUGGUUCCCAGCUGCCCUGGAGGUCACUGUCUAAUCUCACAUGAAUUAUUUUUUACUUUCCAAGGAGUUUUCUACAUAAGAGAGGAAGCACACCUCCUACUAAACAUCAUGAGAGCUCCACCCUCUGCACAUCUUCACAUCUGGGCACUUCUAAUGGACGUACUGUGCAAUUCCAGAUUACCCUGCAUCGUUGCUCUUUGCUGUAUCUUGGAGGUGGAUAUAACUCCAGUUCAGCCUCUCAUGUUCCUGUGGCCCAUUCCUGCUGGCACUCAAGGCCAGGUUGGAUGGGGCCCUUGGCAGCCUGAGCUGGGGGGGGGCAGCCCUGCCCAUGGCAGAGGGUUGGAGCUAGGAAAAAAAAUUGCCUGAGAUUACCCAGACUGAGCAAUCUUUUAGAUGAUCUUUUCUGGGCUUUCUCUCAAAGCAUGUCUGUACUUGAGGCAUUAUCAGUUGCCUAUCCAAGAUUCACUCAGGUAAGAGAAGAACUGGACAACCUUUACACAGUGAUUUAAAUUAGGAGCACAAAACACGAAUAAAUCUUUAAUAAAUUACAAAUAUCAGAGAGGAUAACUUGUGCUGUGCCUUUCCUUGGCCAGAAAGUAGCAAACCCAGCCUAACUAACUUGACCUUGGUUAUAAUAAUGAUUGGAGAUACUGCAUUUUAUCCCAU